Molecule: ribosomal RNA, 531 nt
Filed under: Kopriimonas sp. 36Va
Lineage: Bacteria; Pseudomonadati; Pseudomonadota; Alphaproteobacteria; Rhodospirillales; Kiloniellaceae
Description: bacterial SSU rRNA
Rfam family: Bacterial small subunit ribosomal RNA
Source: RNAcentral
GGGGGAAAGAUUUAUUGCUCUAUGAUGAGCCCGCGUUAGAUUAGGUAGUUGGUGGGGUAAUGGCCUACCAAGCCUACGAUCUAUAGCUGGUCUGAGAGGAUGAUCAGCCACACUGGGACUGAGACACGGCCCAGACUCCUACGGGAGGCAGCAGUGGGGAAUAUUGGACAAUGGGGGCAAGCCUGAUCCAGCCAUGCCGCGUGAGUGAAGAAGGCCUUAGGGUUGUAAAACUCUUUCAACUGUGAGGAUGAUGACAGUAGCAGUAGAAGAAGCACCGGCUAACUUCGUGCCAGCAGCCGCGGUAAUACGAAGGGUGCGAGCGUUGUUCGGAAUUACUGGGCGUAAAGGGCGUGUAGGCGGAUUGCAAAGAUAGAGGUGAAAGGCCUGGGCUCAACCUGGGAACUGCCUUUAUAACUUGCAGUCUAGAGAUCGAGAGAGGAUAGCGGAAUUCCUAGUGUAGAGGUGAAAUUCGUAGAUAUUAGGAAGAACACCAGUGGCGAAGGCGGCUAUCUGGCUCGAUACUGACGCUGA